RNAcentral lists this ribosomal RNA (723 nucleotides) under uncultured bacterium. RNAcentral describes it as "bacterial SSU rRNA". It matches the Rfam family "Archaeal small subunit ribosomal RNA", at positions 456 to 1182 of the family's 1478-position model. The record is from RNAcentral.
UGCCAGCAGCCGCGGUAAUACCGGUGGCUCGAGUGGUGGCCGCUAUUAUUGGGUCUAAAGGGUCGUACCGGCCUGAUAAGUACUGGGAAAUCCGUGGCUAACCAUCGGGCGGCCAGGUAAUACUAUCAGGCUCGGGACUAGGAGAGACCAGAGGUACUCAUGAGGUAGGAGUGAAAUCCUGUAAUCUUAUGAGGACCACCAGUGGUGAAGACGUCUGGUUAGAAUAGGUCCGACGGUGAGGGACGAAGGCUGGGGGCGCAAACCGGAUUAGAUACCCGGGUAGUCCCAGCAGUAAACGAUGCCAGCUAUGUGUUGCUGGAACCAUGGGUUCCAGCAGUGCCGAAGGGAAGCCGUGAAGCUGGCCACCUGGGAAGUACGGUCGCAAGGCUGAAACUUAAAGGAAUUGGCGGGGGAGUACCACAACCGGUGGAGCCUGCGGUUUAAUUGGAUACAACGCCGGGAAUCUUACCGGAGGGGACAGCAGUAUGAAGGCCAGGCUAAAGACCUUGCCAGAUCAGCUGAGAGGAGGUGCAUGGCCGUCGCCAGUUCGUACCGUGAGGCAUCCUGUUUAGUCAGGCAACGAUCGAGACCCGCAGUCUUAUUUGCCAGCAUGCCCUUUGGGGUGUAUGGGUACAAUAAGACGACCNGCAGCGCUAAGCUGGAGGAAGGAGCGGGCUACGGUAGGUCAGCAUGCCCCGAAUCCUUCCGGGAUACACGCGGGCU